UUCAGACGAUGCGUCAUGCAUAUCAAUAAGCGGAGGAAAAGAAACUAACAAGGAUUCCCCUAGUAACGGCGAGUGAAGCGGGAAGAGCUCAAAUUUGAAAUCUUAAAGGGUUUCCCUUUACGAAUUGUAGUUUAAAGAAGUGUUUUCUGUUGAGGUUUUGGUAAAAGUUCUUUGGAAUAGGACAUCAUAGAGGGUGAGAAUCCCGUAUUUGACCUUUACUUUCAACUUUGUGAUACACUUUCAAAGAGUCGGAUUGUUUGGGAAUGCAGUCCAAAAUGGGUGGUAAAUUUCAUCUAAAGCUAAAUAUUGGCGAGAGACCGAUAGCGAACAAGUACCGUGAGGGAAAGAUGAAAAGAACUUUGAAAAGAGAGUUAAACAGUACGUGAAAUUGUCAAAAGGGAAGCGUUUGACACCAGUGUUGUUUUUCUGAAAAUCAAUUAAAGAACUGUUUAUGCUAAGUUGUUUAGACUUUAUCAGCUAUCUGUUUAGUUUUGAGCUUUUCUUUAAUGCACUUUUCAGUUAACAAGUCAACAUCAAUUUCUUUUGCUGUAAAAAAGCUUGAGGAAGGUGGCUUGAGAUUCGUCUUAAGUGUUUAUAGCCUCUUGCCUAUGCAGUCGGAGAGAUUGAGGUCUGCAGCGUAGAUCCUUCGGGGCUAAAUGCAUUUGUGCUAAGUUAUAGCAUUUUAUAGACAACUUGUUGACUAUGAUUUGUCUUGUAGCUUACUCGCUUAUGUUAUUUUACCUACGCUUAGGAUGUUGAGCGCAUGUCUCUCUCU
This 775-nucleotide ribosomal RNA is filed under the name uncultured Neocallimastigales. RNAcentral describes it as "partial large subunit ribosomal RNA". It matches the Rfam family "Eukaryotic large subunit ribosomal RNA", at positions 18 to 616 of the family's 3401-position model. Lineage: Eukaryota; Fungi; Neocallimastigomycota; Neocallimastigomycetes; Neocallimastigales. The record is from RNAcentral.